AAACCGGCGGCAUCGAUAAACCGCAAAAGCACACGAAAUGUCCAAUUUCAAUGAAUAUGCCAUAAAUUUGAUCGGUUGAAGCUCCCAUCAUUGGAUGGUAUAUAAGCAGACGUAAUUCAACAUUUCACUCAACAUCAAGCUCCCAUCCACUCAGAUUCUUGUAUACGCAUUUCAAUUCAGGUAUUAUGAAUGCCUUCUGUUUUCCUUUUCAAGUGAUAGAUACACACAUAUACACUAUGUUCCCGAGUCAUUUAACAGGGGGAGGGGAGGGGAAGGAAAAUUUUCUCUCCUAAUCUCUCCAAUUUGGGAAGAUGAAUAUAUGGUUAUAUUUGGUCAUAUUUUCUUCACUUUUCCCUCCCCUCCCCUAUUAAAUGAAACUCAGGAACAUCGUUAUAUUGUUCGCUAUU
This 407-nucleotide long non-coding RNA is filed under the name Helianthus annuus (common sunflower). Lineage: Eukaryota; Viridiplantae; Streptophyta; Magnoliopsida; Asterales; Asteraceae. The record is from RNAcentral.